Molecule: non-coding RNA, 129 nt
Filed under: Kurthia massiliensis
Lineage: Bacteria; Bacillati; Bacillota; Bacilli; Caryophanales; Caryophanaceae
Description: FMN riboswitch (RFN element)
Rfam family: FMN riboswitch aptamer (RFN element)
About the family: The RFN element is a highly conserved domain that is found frequently in the 5'-untranslated regions of prokaryotic mRNAs that encode for flavin mononucleotide (FMN) biosynthesis and transport proteins. This element is a metabolite-dependent riboswitch that directly binds FMN in the absence of proteins.
Source: RNAcentral
UCCUUCGGGGUCGGGUGAAAUUCCCAAUCGACGGUGAUGAGAUGCAUAAUCUCUAAGCCCGUGAGCUCAUAACGAGCAGGAUUUGGUGCGAAUCCAAAGCCGACAGUUAAAGUCUGGAUGGGAGAAGGA